UGCGCAGGCGGCUUGGCAAGAAAGAUGUGAAAUCCCCGAGCUUAACUUGGGAAUUGCAUUCGAUACUGGGAAGCUAGAGUAUGGGAGAGGAUGGUAGAAUUCCAGGUGUAGCGGUGAAAUGCGUAGAGAUCUGGAGGAAUACCGAUGGCGGAGGCAGCCAUCUGGCCUAAUACUGACACUGAGGUGCGAAAGCAUGGGGAGCAAACAGGAUUAGAUACCCUCGUA
Molecule: ribosomal RNA, 225 nt
Filed under: uncultured Acinetobacter sp.
Lineage: Bacteria; Pseudomonadati; Pseudomonadota; Gammaproteobacteria; Moraxellales; Moraxellaceae
Description: partial 16S ribosomal RNA
Rfam family: Bacterial small subunit ribosomal RNA
Source: RNAcentral